This 467-nucleotide ribosomal RNA is filed under the name uncultured bacterium. RNAcentral's name for it is "partial 16S ribosomal RNA". It matches the Rfam family "Bacterial small subunit ribosomal RNA", at positions 29 to 507 of the family's 1533-position model. The record is from RNAcentral.
ACGAACGCUGGCGGCGUGCUUCACACCUGCCAGUCGAACGGAAAGGCCCUGCUUUUGUGGGGUGCUCGAGUGGCGAACGGGUGAGUAACACGUGAGUAACCUGCCCUUGACUUUGGGAUAACUUCAGGAAACUGGGGCUAAUACUGGAUAGGAGCUCCUGCUGCAUGGUGGGGGUUGGAAAGUUUCGGCGGUUGGGGAUGGACUCGCGGCUUAUCAGCUUGUUGGUGGGGUAGUGGCUUACCAAGGCUUUGACGGGUAGCCGGCCUGAGAGGGUGACCGGCCACAUUGGGACUGAGAUACGGCCCAGACUCCUACGGGAGGCAGCAGUGGGGAAUAUUGCACAAUGGGCGGAAGCCUGAUGCAGCAACGCCGCGUGCGGGAUGACGGCCUUCGGGUUGUAAACCGCUUUCGCCUGUGACGAAGCGUGAGUGACGGUAAUGGGUAAAGAAGCACCGGCUAACUACGUG